GAUGAAGAACGUAGCGAAAUGCGAUAAGUAAUGUGAAUUGCAGAAUUCAGUGAAUCAUCGAAUCUUUGAACGCACAUUGCGCCCCUUGGUAUUCCGAGGGGCAUGCCUGUUCGAGCGUCAUUAUAACCCUCAAGCUCAGCUUGGUGUUGGGGCCUGCUGCACUGGCAGCCCUUAAAAUCAGUGGCGGCGCCAUCUGGCUCUAAGCGUAGUAAUUCUUCUCGCUAUGGAGUCCUGGAUGCUUGCCAUCAACCCCCAAUUUUUCUAUGGUUGACCUCGGAUCAGGUAGGGAUACCCGCUGAACUUAAGCAUAUCAAUAAGCGGAGGA
This 325-nucleotide unclassified non-coding RNA is filed under the name soil metagenome. RNAcentral's name for it is "partial contains 5.8S ribosomal RNA, internal transcribed spacer 2, and large subunit ribosomal RNA". The stretch from base 1 to 120 matches the Rfam family "5.8S ribosomal RNA", at positions 35 to 154 of the family's 154-position model. The record is from RNAcentral.